UACCUCAAAAAACCACAACAGUCUGUUUCAUCCGUAUAGUCUGUUUCAUCCUGAUGAUUCCUAUACGGAUGAAACAGACUGUUGUGGUUGUU
Non-coding RNA from Paramuricea clavata, 92 nucleotides. The record is from the annotation of a GenBank genome assembly. Lineage: Eukaryota; Metazoa; Cnidaria; Anthozoa; Malacalcyonacea; Plexauridae.